RNAcentral lists this ribosomal RNA (767 nucleotides) under uncultured bacterium. RNAcentral's name for it is "bacterial SSU rRNA". It matches the Rfam family "Bacterial small subunit ribosomal RNA", at positions 8 to 747 of the family's 1533-position model. The record is from RNAcentral.
AGAGUUUGAUCCUGGCUCAGAAUGAACGCUGGCGGCGUGCAUAACACAUGCAAGUCGAACGAGAAAUUCCCCGCUUGCGGGGGAAAGUAAAGUGGCGCACGGGUGAGCAACGCGUGGGUAAUCUGCCCUUGAAUUUGGAAUAACUUCGCGAAAGCGUUGCUAAUACCGAAUAUUGUCCCUUUUGCUGUGGCUUUGGGGAUGAAAGGUGACCUCUUCAUGAAAGUUGCCGUUCAAGGAGGAGCCCGCGUACCAUUAGCUAGUUGGUAGGGUAAUGGCCUACCAAGGCGACGAUGGUUAGCUGGCCUGAGAGGGUGGCCAGCCACACUGGAACUGAGACACGGUCCAGACUCCUACGGGAGGCAGCAGUGGGGAAUCUUGCGCAAUGGGGGAAACCCUGACGCAGCAACGCCGCGUGAGUGACGAAGGCCUUCGGGUCGUAAAGCUCUGUCAGAUGGAAAGAAUUAGUUCGCUGAAAAUAUUGGCGAGUGAUGACGGUACCAUCAGAGGAAGCACCGGCUAACUCCGUGCCAGCAGCCGCGGUAAUACGGAGGGUGCAAGCGUUGUUCGGAAUUAUUGGGCGUAAAGCGCGUGUAGGCGGGAAGGCAGGUCAGGUGUGAAAUCCCUUGGCUUAACCAAGGAACUGCAUCUGAAACCAUUUUCCUCGAGUACGAUAGGGGAGGGCGGAAUUCCCAGUGUAGAGGUGAAAUUCAUAGAUAUUGGGAGGAACACCAGUGGCGAAGGCGACCCUCUGGAUCGAUACUGACGCU